CUUUCCUAUUGGUCGAAAAAAGUACCGUGUCGACCAAUCAAAAAAUUAUAUGGCAACAUGGCAUCUAGUUGUUAAGAAACGUGGGGAAGUUUUAGGAGUGACGGCGGUGUUUUGAGAUGUGAGAGAUUUGCGACGUUUAGCGCAAAUCUUGUGUAGUUAGUGUGUAGUGUAGUCAAUAGUUUUGUUGUGUGUGAGAACAAUGAGGCGACUGCUGAAUGUUACAGGUGUUACAGGAGUGAUACAUCUCCUGUUGUCAGGCCUGCAGGUAUCAGGCUGUUGUUCUCACCGCCACGCGACGACGGCUGUCCCAAUUCAAAGUGUACUUCAAAUGCAUACUCCAAAUGCGCCAUCGAUUUCCCCAAAUAUCAAGCGUGGUCCGGUGCACGCUUCGUGGUCCCAUAUAUCCCACAAUCCAUAGCGCGGCGGUGGGUGUGGAUAAUUUUGCCGCAAAAUACGGCAGAAGGGAGCGGCCGAAGAGUGAACUGUCAAAAUGGACGAAGGACGUGCCAGUGGCCCUGGGACCUCAGGUGGUGGGUCGUUUUCACACUUUCUUUUGUACAGCACCGGGUGGGCUGCAGUGAUUUUCGUUUUGUGUGAUUUUCUUUUGGGUCCACGGCUGCUGGCACAGGGCAGCGCCCAUCUUCAGAGAGGAGUUUGGUGUUUGACCAGAGUGCUCUCUCUGCUGCAGCAUAUUAUUAAACCAAAUCAAAAGAACGUCUUGAUGCACGCUCAAUCAUCCAGAUCAAGAAUGCCCAUCAUGAGGAGGAAGAAAGCUGGAUGCCAGAAUCAGGGAAGCCCUGAAGGAUGUUAGUCGGCUAAAAGAGGUACAGAAGGGCAUCAUGAGAUACGGGUCCUGGAUGAUGUGACAGGUGAGACCUGGAGACUUGGAACCGCCCCUGGUGGGCGGAGCUGGUCUGUGCUCCUUUCAUAAGCGCAGGUGUGGGCAAUUAGGUAUUCCUCAGCAAACCUGAAGCUGCAAGUGUGUGGUCCAAGUUGGGUAAGUUGGUGUUACUUUCUGUCUAUGAAAGUCUGAUAUGGGUCCUCCCCUAAACUUCUGUUAGAACGGUAGGUACACAAAAAUGUACCACUUGAGCUCUGGCUGUUGGCAGAGGUUUAUAGUUAUGUGCACCCUUGUAGGUGGGAAACAUUGCUCCCGUGAGAACGGUAUAGUGGACUUCAUCGCCACUGACCCACAUUUAUUAGGGUGUGACACGAACUUGUGGACAGAGUACCGAGCUGCUGCUUUGCCAAGUGGAUUUCUGGCUGCGGGCAAAGGACCCGACACAUCAGUGUGUUUUAAACUGGUGUAAUUCGACCGACUGACUGCUGCGGCUGUCGAUUAUUGUUUUGUUUUAAUUUUUUCUGUAUCAGUAGGCACCACAGAUAUUGAUUCUUUUAGUAUUUUAACCCCUUUUUUUUAUAGAUAUAUAUUGUCGCGAACGGUGAAGGCGCUGCAGGGAAAACGAAUCCUUUUUUUGUCUCGCCGCUUUUGCAUGCACAGCGGUGGCCUGAGUGAGGACGGCACUGAAGAGUUGCCUUUUCUAUAGUGUUUUGCCCAUUUGGGGGUUAUGUGUGAAUUGCCGUCCCUUUUUAACCUGUGUGCUAUGUUGAUUUGUUCUUAAACGGUUCCCCGCAGCGCUUAUCCUGUCUCACGGGCAAUCAUACAGUUUUAUCGUUUUUAAACAAGGUAAAAUUUUUAAUUGUUUUUAAGUGCCGCUGUUACAUUGUUUUAUUUUGUGUUAAAAAUUAAAUUCUUUUUAACUGACUGUGCGCCUACGGCUCUGUCCUAUUUUAAAUAGGUACCUACCACGGGUCACAGAUGUAACAAAACAGAAUCAAAAAAAGUCAGCAGCAGAGGUCAAACGAUUGAAUGACUUGGUCUCCAAAGUCUCAUUCAGAUGUAUUUUUAGCUUCAAGCAAGAGUAGAACAUCUGGGUGCGGGGCCCCGUGUUCCAGAUUAACUGGCGUUGGUGAAACAGAUGUGUGGUAGACUUGCUUUUCAGGAGCUGCUACCGACAAAACGGCAAAUAAACACCAAAUAUUUCAUCUUUAAUAUUUGUGAGGUUACCUCAAACACACUCCACCAGUCUUGUUGCUCUUGUUUACCUGGCGAUAUUCUCAUGCAGGAGGCGAUCGCGAAAACAGCAAACAAUUAAUACCAUGCCGAUGCUGUUCACAGGACAGCAAGAGUAAACGAUCAGGAGAAUCUUGUCGUCGUUACCGUUCCCCUCGUACGUGUUAUUACUCAGAUUUCAGUGUUUUCGCUUCGCAACUAAAGCGUGCAGUUUACUUUGUGUGCACUCAAAUGGAGUCGAGUCAACUAGCUCCACCUGUGGCCAAGUGCCAUAGCCUACAGCCAGAUUAACUUGUGACACACAUCUGCACCUGGCUCUAUCGCCACAUUUGAAUUCGUUUCAUGCACAAUACAUUUGGAACUUUCUAUUUUUUUUUAUUUUUUUUUUCUGUUUUUGUGUCUUGCAAAUAAACCUUUAAAAUAAAUGAAAUGGUAUUAUGUAUUCAUUUUUGGCCUACAUCAGUAAGA
Long non-coding RNA from Oreochromis aureus, 2542 nucleotides. Lineage: Eukaryota; Metazoa; Chordata; Actinopteri; Cichliformes; Cichlidae. The record is from Ensembl.